GUAGUCAUAUGCUUGUCUCAAAGAUUAAGCCAUGCAUGUCUAAGUAUAAGCAAUCUAUACUGUGAAACUGCGAAUGGCUCAUUAAAUCAGUUAUCGUUUAUUUGAUAGUACCCUACUACAUGGAUACCUGUGGUAAUUCUAGAGCUAAUACAUGCGCAAAACCCCGACUUCGGAAGGGGUGUAUUUAUUAGAUAAAAAACCAAUGCCCUUCGGGGCUCCUUGGUGAUUCAUAAUAACUUCACGAAUCGCAUGGCCUUGCGCCGGCGAUGGUUCAUUCAAAWUUCUGCCCUAUCAACUUUCGAUGGUAGGAUAGUGGCCUACCAUGGUGGCAACGGGUAACGGGGAAUUAGGGUUCGAUUCCGGAGAGGGAGCCUGAGAAACGGCUACCACAUCCAAGGAAGGCAGCAGGCGCGCAAAUUACCCAAUCCCGAUACGGGGAGGUAGUGACAAUAAAUACUGAUACAGGGCUCUUUUGGGUCUUGUAAUUGGAAUGAGAACAAUCUAAAUCCCUUAACGAGGAACAAUUGGAGGGCAAGUCUGGUGCCAGCAGCC
Molecule: ribosomal RNA, 552 nt
Filed under: uncultured fungus
Lineage: Eukaryota; Fungi
Description: SSU rRNA
Rfam family: Eukaryotic small subunit ribosomal RNA
Source: RNAcentral